RNAcentral lists this ribosomal RNA (465 nucleotides) under uncultured bacterium. RNAcentral's name for it is "partial 16S ribosomal RNA". It matches the Rfam family "Bacterial small subunit ribosomal RNA", at positions 338 to 795 of the family's 1533-position model. The record is from RNAcentral.
CCUACGGGGGGCAGCAGUAGGGAAUCUUCCACAAUGGGCGAAAGCCUGAUGGCGCAACGCCGCGUGGGUGAAGAAGGUCUUCGGAUCGUAAAACCCUGUUGUUAGAGAAGAAAGUGCGUGAGAGUAACUGUUCACGUUUCGACGGUAUCUAACCAGACAGCCACGGCUAACUACGUGACAGCAGCCGCGGUAAUACGUAGGUGGCAAGCGUUAUCCGGAUUUAUUGGGCGUAAAGGGAACGCAGGCGGGCUUUUAAGCUUGAUGUGAAAGCCUUCGGCUUAACCGGAGUAGUGCAUUGGAAACUGGGAGACUUGAGUGCAGAAGAGGAGAGUGGAACUCCAGGUGUAGCGGUGAAAUGCGUAGAUAUAUGGAAGAACACCAGUGGCGAAAGCGGCUCUCUGGUCUGUAACUGACGCUGAGGUUCGAAAGCGUGGGUAGCAAACAGGAUUAGAUACCCCAGUAGUC